Molecule: non-coding RNA, 74 nt
Organism: Actinoalloteichus hymeniacidonis
Lineage: Bacteria; Bacillati; Actinomycetota; Actinomycetes; Pseudonocardiales; Pseudonocardiaceae
Source: Rfam
GGCCAGGUAGCUCAGUUGGUACGAGCGUCCGCCUGAAAAGCGGAAGGUCGCCGGUUCGAUCCCGGCCCUGGCCA